CAAGAAAGAAAAUUUGGAAUCGAAGGAUCUGGAGAUGUGUAGCGGAGGCGAUUGACUCGGCGGAGGUCGAUCUGGAGAUGAAUUUGGAGUCGAUUCAAUCGGAACAGAAGCAUCUCUGUUGAAUCAAUUAGAAUCAGAGGGGAUGGUAAAGAGUUUUCACCCACCAUUGGCUUCUUUGUUGAUGUUGCUCCUUCUCAGGUUAUUGUGCGCCAAUGGAAUUAGCAAGACGAGUGGUUAGCCAAAGUAUCUAAAGAAGAGGAAGAGAGAUAUUCUCAAGCAGUCAGGUCUUUGGAGUUUGACAAGCAUCUUGGCCUGGAAUGUAUAUUGGUAGCACCGGAUCUCUCGUGGUAUGCACCAUCUGAUGGAAAGACUGAUUACAGGAGAAGGAUCCGUAUUAUCAACCAAGACAUGAACAAGUACAAUAAAGCGAGUACCGUUUUGUUGUCCGGUUUACCAACAAAGACAAGAACAAGUACAAUACAUCAGGUUGCUGGUGAGGACAAUACAUCAAGGUUUUUAGUUCUAUAUCUUUAUUUUAGUUAAGCAUGUCAUGUUUGGAGCAAAUCAGUAUUAAAAUUAAUCAUUCUCUCCAUUUAUAAAUUGCACUUCUGUUGUAAUAUGUAUUAAUGCUUUUAUU
Molecule: long non-coding RNA, 637 nt
Organism: Camelina sativa (false flax)
Lineage: Eukaryota; Viridiplantae; Streptophyta; Magnoliopsida; Brassicales; Brassicaceae
Source: RefSeq, a predicted model, not a curated record